AACGUUUUGAGCGAAAAGUGAAAGAAGCAAGUUGUCGUUUUGUUCGAAAACUCUUUUGCUUUUUGAAGCUCGAGGUGAUAAAAACCUGGAUGGAACAUGGAAUGGCAGUUCUGGUGCCAGAGCACAUUGAAAAAGCUUCUGGAUGUUGAAUUAGGAUCAGACAUUGAAUUAAAACUGGAAUGAAAUGACUGAAUUUGAUUGAAUAAGAAUCCGAGAAAGACACCCAUAGUUAGAUUUCUUUUUGAAUCACCUACAUCUUAUAAGAAAGAGGUUUAUAUAGCAGUUAAGAUUAUUAAAGAAAAUACAGCUCCAGAUCGAAUGCACUGCAGAUAGACGACUCUCCCUUGGCCACUCCAGUCGCCCAAAGAAUUUGUUUCUCUAGCGUUUAUGUACCACUGUUACCCACGUGAAUCCAGAAUUUUGUGAUUAGGUCAUUACAUGAACAAGAUUCACCGAGUUUGGAAUUAAUUUGAUUACUGCAUGAGCUGGGGUCAUGUUGCUUCAGGUAAACUUGCAUUGUUUUUAUUAUAUGUUCUACUAUUAGGCAUUAGGCGGAAAGGGAGGGCAACCUCCGUGGAAGACUUUUUAAGGAAACAUGCUCGUAUCCAUUUUACAUAUGGCGGAAACAACGAAAACACCCAUGCAGCCAGCCUGUUAGUCGGGCCUCGAAGCAUGAGUUGCUUAUACUAAUGGUGUGGAAUCAACGUAUGAAAGGCUUGGACAAUUGCCGUUGCUUUUAGUAUUUUCUAUCGUAUUAAGGUCAGAAAUAUACUUUAUACUAAAUUUUGAAAUUGCACCUAUUUUUCAUGUCUGUGUGUGCCCUGUUAUUCGAUGAAACAAUCAUAACUUAACAAAAAGCUUGAUGGCUCUUCUCACAUUUGCACUUUUUAUUAACGCAUUCAGAAACUGGUUAUAAUAAACUAGCCUUCUGUGAUUUUUAAUUUCGAUAUCAUUGUCAAAAUAAUUAUUCUUCUUUAUUAUGUAUUUUAGUUUUUCUUAAGUAUUUCGAUAUUUCCUCCCCAAUCAUUAUUUGCAUUUUGAAUUGGUUUGCAUUUUGAAUUACAGUUUUCUAAAAAAAAUAAAAUAAAUUAAUAAAUAAAUAAUAAAAAUAAAAAAAGAAUAAAAUGAAAAAUUAAAUAAUUUUUUUCUCACGGGAUUCUGUGAGUAAAAAGUUAUUACAUUUAUACUCUUUUCAUAAAAUGUUUCCUGUUUGGCAGUUUGUGUGUGUGAUGACAACAAGGAAGGCAAUUACAGAAGAGAUAAUAGUAAAAAGUAAAAUUAUUUGCUUUUAUUCCAAUAGAUAGAUAUGUAGACAGAAAUUUGAUGGCAUUGAAGAAUUCAAGGUGAAACACCCGCGAACAGAAUGGCAGUUAAAAUGUCUUUUGUGAGGAAUUCCUCAAACAAAGGAAAGCCACAACAAUGCAUAACAGAUGGUAAUUCUCAUUCUGUGUUUGUAGACACCGCUGAAACUGUAAGUCGUUCUCCUUGAAAUC
This is an RNA transcript of Stegodyphus dumicola, 1493 nucleotides long. RefSeq lists it as uncharacterized. The record is from RefSeq and is a predicted model, not a curated record. Lineage: Eukaryota; Metazoa; Arthropoda; Arachnida; Araneae; Eresidae.